UAUAGGAAAAAAUCUGCUCUCUGGGAGCAGGGUUGGAGACUCCUUCAAUAGAUUAAUAGUGUCUGUCACCUAGACCUUAAAAAUUGUAUGCAAAUAUAAAUAAGCAUGGUGCAAGAAAAAAAAAAUCAGAAAGAGGAUGUCAAUCAAGUGUCAAUAAAGUCUUAGGAGGAAUGGAGAGAAGAGGACAUUAACCAUAAACCUUGCCGCAGCUCCUCCAGCUUAUUGACAUAGCCUGUAUAUGAAAGAAAAUCUAAGCUCAAGUCCAUGACAUCUUUUGCCAGUUCAAGUGAUUUUCAGAGAACAGGCUGAUCCUUCCAGCUUGCCGUCAUGAAAACGGGGUUGACUUUGACUGAAAACAGCAUCAAUGGCCCCUGCUUUUUUCCUGACGAAAGUGGUGUCUAGUGAAGUGUUAACAGUCCUGACACUGCUAGUUUUAUGUGUGUCUUGGCAUGUCUUCCUGUGAGUCAAACCCCUGACGCAUAUUUUGUGAUAAAUAAAUAAAGCCAGUGGAGAGGAACAAAUACCGACUCCAAAUAGAAGCUGACAGCUCACAAGCUAGUAGAUGGAGCCCUCUCUCUUUUCUGCUGACUACUACAGGCAGAUGGGAGCAGCACACAGAGUCUUGAAUGAGUUUUCCAGGGCCUUCUGUCCCACUCAUAGGACCAAAACAGGCCCCAGGAGACUGCCAUGCUGCUAUUAAGUGGCCUUCAAUAAGACAACAAGCCAUUCAUGUAGAGAUGAGCACUCCUUCUGGGGAAGGUGAAGGGUUUAAGAGCAGAGAUGGAUGUUUUAAAUAAUAAUGACUUACUUUUAGGGCUUAUCGCUCCAUAUUUUCCCUCUUCUCCCAUUCCCUGUGGGAGGGUGCUCAUGGUUAAGCAUGAUGAUUGAUAAUCUAAUAUCGCUGGCAAUCUUCUUGCAUGCUUUAGGACUAAUUGCAAAUCUGUCAUAGAGAUCUUGUGCCUAAACUCACCAUUUUUACAAACCUGUCAAAAAGUGAGAAGCACUACAUUACACAGAUGAUUAGUUAUAAUUCCCCCGUUGAAAGAGGAGACCUCAGGCGGACUCCAUAAUCUACACUCAACACCC
Long non-coding RNA from Cyprinus carpio carpio, 1086 nucleotides. Lineage: Eukaryota; Metazoa; Chordata; Actinopteri; Cypriniformes; Cyprinidae. The record is from Ensembl.